UCUCUCUCACCAAGGACUUUGCUCUAAUAAAAGUCUGCACUUCUCUAAUAGGUCCUAUCUGUAUUCACAGACAUCCAAAUAUAGCAGCAGGGGACAACUGGAAGCAGAGUGAACUGCAGAUGUCACCAUCAGGACUGAAACCAACUUGGACGAUGUUGCUGUGGUACUCUAAGACAGCCCUGCUCAUGCUCGCUGUAAAGACCAGGCUGGAACGAGAUGGGUAACAGUAGCUACAGUGGACCAAAUACUGAAAGAAAAAUCGGAAGUUCAAGCAUUCUCAUGUGAGUCGGCCACUGUGUGUGACUUCAGUGUGUG
RNAcentral lists this long non-coding RNA (315 nucleotides) under Ictidomys tridecemlineatus (thirteen-lined ground squirrel). Its description in RNAcentral is "lncRNA (ENSSTOG00000034802.1)". The record is from RNAcentral. Lineage: Eukaryota; Metazoa; Chordata; Mammalia; Rodentia; Sciuridae.